GCCGGCAGCUAACAUCCUGCAACUGUCACAUGGUCGCCAACUGAAGCUAAGCAGGGCUGUGCCUGGUCAGUACCUGGAUGGGAGACCACAUGGGAAAGCUAGGUUGCUGCUGGAA
Molecule: ribosomal RNA, 115 nt
Filed under: Danio rerio (zebrafish)
Lineage: Eukaryota; Metazoa; Chordata; Actinopteri; Cypriniformes; Danionidae
Source: RNAcentral